UGAUGGGGAAGACCCUCCCGGGUCUUGUACACCCCGAUGCCCGCUCCGUAAUGGGAGCUUUUCUUCGGAACAUCGGUGACAGGUGGUGCAUGGUUGUCGUCAGCUCGUGUCGUGAGAUGUUGGGUUAAGUCCCGCAACGAGCGCAACCCCUAUCUUUAGUAGCCAGCAUUUAAGGUGGGCACUCUAGAGAGACUGCCAGGGAUAACCUGGAGGAAGGUGGGGAUGACGUCAAAUCAUCAUGCCCCUUAUGACCAGGGCUACACACGUGCUACAAUGGGGUACACCCUGAAGCAAAGCUGUGAGGCCGAGCAAAUCCCAAAAAGAUUCCCUUUCGGAUUGUAGUCUGCAACUCGACUACAUGAAGCUGGAAUCGCUAGUAAUCGCGAAUCU
Molecule: ribosomal RNA, 390 nt
Filed under: uncultured bacterium
Lineage: Bacteria
Description: bacterial SSU rRNA
Rfam family: Bacterial small subunit ribosomal RNA
Source: RNAcentral